Molecule: ribosomal RNA, 467 nt
Filed under: uncultured bacterium
Lineage: Bacteria
Description: partial 16S ribosomal RNA
Rfam family: Bacterial small subunit ribosomal RNA
Source: RNAcentral
GACGAACGCUGGCGGCGUGCUUAACACAUGCAAGUCGAACGGAAAGGCCCUGCUUUUGUGGGGUGCUCGAGUGGCGAACGGGUGAGUAACACGUGAGUAACCUGCCCUUGACUUUGGGAUAACUUCAGGAAACUGGGGCUAAUACCGGAUAGGAGCUCCUGCUGCAUGGUGGGGGUUGGAAAGUUUCGGCGGUUGGGGAUGGACUCGCGGCUUAUCAGCUUGUUGGUGGGGUAGUGGCUUACCAAGGCUUUGACGGGUAGCCGGCCUGAGAGGGUGACCGGCCACAUUGGGACUGAGAUACGGCCCAGACUCCUACGGGAGGCAGCAGUGGGGAAUAUUGCACAAUGGGCGGAAGCCUGAUGCAGCAACGCCGCGUGCGGGAGGACGGCCUUCGGGUUGUAAACCGCUUUCGCCUGUGACGAAGCGUGAGUGACGGUAAUGGGUAAAGAAACACCGGCUAACUACGU